RNAcentral lists this ribosomal RNA (251 nucleotides) under uncultured prokaryote. Its description in RNAcentral is "partial 16S rRNA". It matches the Rfam family "Bacterial small subunit ribosomal RNA", at positions 525 to 775 of the family's 1533-position model. The record is from RNAcentral.
ACGGGGGGUGCAAGCGUUGUUCGGAAUCAUUGGGCGUAAAGGGCGUGUAGGCGGCUAGAUAAGUCAGAUGUGAAAUCCCUGGGCUUAACCCAGGAAGUGCAUUUGAAACUGUUUGGCUUGAGUAGGGGAGAGGAAAGUGGAAUUCCUGGUGGACGAGUUGAAGUCGUAGUGAUGAGGAGGAACACCGGUGGCGUAGGCGACUUUCUGGCUCUAUUCUCACUGUGCGCCGCAUAAGCGUUUGUAGCAAAAAG